GAUGAACGCUGGCGGCGUGCUUAACACAUGCAAGUCGAGCGAAGCACUUUUGCAGAUUUCUUCGGAUUGAAGCAAUUGUGACUGAGCGGCGGACGGGUGAGUAACGCGUGGGUAACCUGCCUCAUACAGGGGGAUAACAGUUGGAAACGGCUGCUAAUACCGCAUAAGCGCACAGUACCGCAUGGUACCGUGUGAAAAACUCCGGUGGUAUGAGAUGGACCCGCGUCUGAUUAGCUAGUUGGUGGGGUAACGGCCUACCAAGGCGACGAUCAGUAGCCGACCUGAGAGGGUGACCGGCCACAUUGGGACUGAGACACGGCCCAAACUCCUACGGGAGGCAGCAGUGGGGAAUAUUGCACAAUGGGGGAAACCCUGAUGCAGCGACGCCGCGUGAGCGAUGAAGUAUUUCGGUAUGUAAAGCUCUAUCAGCAGGGAAGAAAAUGACGGUACCUGACUAAGAAGCCCCGGCUAACUACGUGCCAGCAGCCGCGGUAAUACGUAGGGGGCAAGCGUUAUCCGGAUUUACUGGGUGUAAAGGGAGCGUAGACGGCAUGGCAAGCCAGAUGUGAAAGCCCGGGGCUCAACCCCGGGACUGCAUUUGGAACUGUCAGGCUAGAGUGUCGGAGAGGAAAGCGGAAUUCCUAGUGUAGCGGUGAAAUGCGUAGAUAUUAGGAGGAACACCAGUGGCGAAGGCGGCUUUCUGGACGAUGACUGACGUUGAGGCUCGAAAGCGUGGGGAGCAAACAGGAUUAGAUACCCUGGUAGUCCAGCGCCGUAAACGAUGAAUACUAGGUGUCGGGUGGCAAAGCCAUUGCGGUGCCGCAGC
Molecule: ribosomal RNA, 826 nt
Filed under: uncultured bacterium
Lineage: Bacteria
Description: bacterial SSU rRNA
Rfam family: Bacterial small subunit ribosomal RNA
Source: RNAcentral